RNAcentral lists this ribosomal RNA (2932 nucleotides) under Escherichia coli. RNAcentral's name for it is "23S ribosomal RNA". It matches the Rfam family "Bacterial large subunit ribosomal RNA". Lineage: Bacteria; Pseudomonadati; Pseudomonadota; Gammaproteobacteria; Enterobacterales; Enterobacteriaceae. The record is from RNAcentral.
GGGUUGUGAGGUUAAGCGACUAAGCGUACACGGUGGAUGCCCUGGCAGUCAGAGGCGAUGAAGGACGUGCUAAUCUGCGAUAAGCGUCGGUGAGGUGAUAUGAACCGUUAUAACCGGCGAUUUCCGAAUGGGGAAACCCAGUGUGUUUCGACACACUAUCAUUAACUGAAUCCAUAGGUUAAUGAGGCGAACCGGGGGAACUGAAACAUCUAAGUACCCCGAGGAAAAGAAAUCAACCGAGAUUCCCCCAGUAGCGGCGAGCGAACGGGGAGGAGCCCAGAGCCUGAAUCAGUGUGUGUGUUAGUGGAAGCGUCUGGAAAGGCGCGCGAUACAGGGUGACAGCCCCGUACACAAAAAUGCACAUAUUGUGAGCUCGAUGAGUAGGGCGGGACACGUGGUAUCCUGUCUGAAUAUGGGGGGACCAUCCUCCAAGGCUAAAUACUCCUGACUGACCGAUAGUGAACCAGUACCGUGAGGGAAAGGCGAAAAGAACCCCGGCGAGGGGAGUGAAAAAGAACCUGAAACCGUGUACGUACAAGCAGUGGGAGCCUCUUAAUGGGGUGACUGCGUACCUUUUGUAUAAUGGGUCAGCGACUUAUAUUCUGUAGCAAGGUUAACCGAAUAGGGGAGCCGAAGGGAAACCGAGUCUUAACUGGGCGUUAAGUUGCAGGGUAUAGACCCGAAACCCGGUGAUCUAGCCAUGGGCAGGUUGAAGGUUGGGUAACACUAACUGGAGGACCGAACCGACUAAUGUUGAAAAAUUAGCGGAUGACUUGUGGCUGGGGGUGAAAGGCCAAUCAAACCGGGAGAUAGCUGGUUCUCCCCGAAAGCUAUUUAGGUAGCGCCUCGUGAAUUCAUCUCCGGGGGUAGAGCACUGUUUCGGCAAGGGGGUCAUCCCGACUUACCAACCCGAUGCAAACUGCGAAUACCGGAGAAUGUUAUCACGGGAGACACACGGCGGGUGCUAACGUCCGUCGUGAAGAGGGAAACAACCCAGACCGCCAGCUAAGGUCCCAAAGUCAUGGUUAAGUGGGAAACGAUGUGGGAAGGCCCAGACAGCCAGGAUGUUGGCUUAGAAGCAGCCAUCAUUUAAAGAAAGCGUAAUAGCUCACUGGUCGAGUCGGCCUGCGCGGAAGAUGUAACGGGGCUAAACCAUGCACCGAAGCUGCGGCAGCGACGCUUAUGCGUUGUUGGGUAGGGGAGCGUUCUGUAAGCCUGUGAAGGUGGCCUGUGAGGGUUGCUGGAGGUAUCAGAAGUGCGAAUGCUGACAUAAGUAACGAUAAAGCGGGUGAAAAGCCCGCUCGCCGGAAGACCAAGGGUUCCUGUCCAACGUUAAUCGGGGCAGGGUGAGUCGACUCCUAAGGCGAGGCCGAAAGGCGUAGUCGAUGGGAAACAGGUUAAUAUUCCUGUACUUGGUGUUACUGCGAAGGGGGGACGGAGAAGGCUAUGUUGGCCGGGCGACGGUUGUCCCGGUUUAAGCGUGUAGGCUGGUUUUCCAGGCAAAUCCGGAAAACCAAGGCUGAGGCGUGAUGACGAGGCACUACGGUGCUGAAGUGACAAAUGCCCUGCUUCCAGGAAAAGCCUCUAAGCAUCAGGUAACAUCAAAUCGUACCCCAAACCGACACAGGUGGUCAGGUAGAGAAUACCAAGGCGCUUGAGAGAACUCGGGUGAAGGAACUAGGCAAAAUGGUGCCGUAACUUCGGGAGAAGGCACGCUGAUAUGUAGGUGAAGCGACUUGCUCGUGGAGCUGAAAUCAGUCGAAGAUACCAGCUGGCUGCAACUGUUUAUUAAAAACACAGCACUGUGCAAACACGAAAGUGGACGUAUACGGUGUGACGCCUGCCCGGUGCCGGAAGGUUAAUUGAUGGGGUUAGCGGUAACGCGAAGCUCUUGAUCGAAGCCCCGGUAAACGGCGGCCGUAACUAUAACGGUCCUAAGGUAGCGAAAUUCCUUGUCGGGUAAGUUCCGACCUGCACGAAUGGCGUAAUGAUGGCCAGGCUGUCUCCACCCGAGACUCAGUGAAAUUGAACUCGCUGUGAAGAUGCAGUGUACCCGCGGCAAGACGGAAAGACCCCGUGAACCUUUACUAUAGCUUGACACUGAACAUUGAGCCUUGAUGUGUAGGAUAGGUGGGAGGCUUUGAAGUGUGGACGCCAGUCUGCAUGGAGCCGACCUUGAAAUACCACCCUUUAAUGUUUGAUGUUCUAACGUUGGCCCGUAAUCCGGGUUGCGGACAGUGUCUGGUGGGUAGUUUGACUGGGGCGGUCUCCUCCUAAAGAGUAACGGAGGAGCACGAAGGUUGGCUAAUCCUGGUCGGACAUCAGGAGGUUAGUGCAAUGGCAUAAGCCAGCUUGACUGCGAGCGUGACGGCGCGAGCAGGUGCGAAAGCAGGUCAUAGUGAUCCGGUGGUUCUGAAUGGAAGGGCCAUCGCUCAACGGAUAAAAGGUACUCCGGGGAUAACAGGCUGAUACCGCCCAAGAGUUCAUAUCGACGGCGGUGUUUGGCACCUCGAUGUCGGCUCAUCACAUCCUGGGGCUGAAGUAGGUCCCAAGGGUAUGGCUGUUCGCCAUUUAAAGUGGUACGCGAGCUGGGUUUAGAACGUCGUGAGACAGUUCGGUCCCUAUCUGCCGUGGGCGCUGGAGAACUGAGGGGGGCUGCUCCUAGUACGAGAGGACCGGAGUGGACGCAUCACUGGUGUUCGGGUUGUCAUGCCAAUGGCACUGCCCGGUAGCUAAAUGCGGAAGAGAUAAGUGCUGAAAGCAUCUAAGCACGAAACUUGCCCCGAGAUGAGUUCUCCCUGAGACUUUAAGUCUCCUGAAGGAACGUUGAAGACGACGACGUUAAUAGGCCGGGUGUGUAAGCGCAGCGAUGCGUUGAGCUAACCGGUACUAAUGAACCGUGAGGCUUAACCUUACAACGCCGAAGGUGUUU